Molecule: non-coding RNA, 675 nt
Organism: Chelonoidis abingdonii (Abingdon island giant tortoise)
Lineage: Eukaryota; Metazoa; Chordata; Testudines; Testudinidae
Source: the annotation of a RefSeq genome assembly
ACAGGGUUUCACAAAGACAGGGAACAGGCUGCAAACCAGCAGAAACCCAGCUCCUGUGACCUCUCCCCAUCUCUCUACACCAUGGCCCAGCCAACUCUCCCUCUCUAUCUCCUGGGGCUUUUCCUGACAGGUUGCUACGCUCAGGUGACUCAGCCGCCCUCCGAGUUCGUGUCUCCCGGGGGGAAUGUCCAGCUCCCCUGCACACUAGAGGGCAGUUACACCGUCAGUGCCAACCGUGUCGUUUGGAUACAGCAGAGACCGGGCAGCAUCCCCAGAUACCUGUUGUAUUUUUUCACUGAAUCUAACAAAGGCAUGGGCACGGGGGUCCCCAGCCGGUUCGCUGGCUCUCGCUCUGGCUCCGACAAGAUUGGCUAUUUAACCAUCACUGGGGCCCAGGCAGAGGAUGAUGCCGUCUAUUACUGUGUUACAUGGACUGGGAGUGCUUGCACAGUGCUACCGUCCUAUGGGGAAGUGAGACAAAAACCUUAUCACUCCACUGCAGCCCUGUGGCAAGGCUGCACCUGCUCUGAGCACCAGCCUGCUUCUUACACAGGGGGCGUUGGCUCCUGCUCCCCUCACAGCUCCUCAUGCACUGAAAUACCCUGUGAAUUCAGGCCUCGUCUCUGCUCAUGGGUCUCUUGGUUUCUGAUAGUCAUCUUGUCGCUCAAGAGCUGA